GCCGAGGUGGUGGAACUGGUAGACACGCAGGACUUAAAAUCCUGUGAGCUUUUAAACUCGUACGGGUUCGAUUCCCGUCCUCGGUACCA
RNAcentral lists this transfer RNA (89 nucleotides) under Emticicia oligotrophica DSM 17448. RNAcentral describes it as "tRNA-Leu (TAA) (tRNA-Leu-TAA-1-1)". It matches the Rfam family "tRNA". Rfam says of the family: Transfer RNA (tRNA) molecules are approximately 80 nucleotides in length. Their secondary structure includes four short double-helical elements and three loops (D, anti-codon, and T loops). Lineage: Bacteria; Pseudomonadati; Bacteroidota; Cytophagia; Cytophagales; Leadbetterellaceae. The record is from RNAcentral. RNAcentral also lists the same sequence under 1 other name.